Molecule: small RNA, 256 nt
Filed under: Vibrio spartinae
Lineage: Bacteria; Pseudomonadati; Pseudomonadota; Gammaproteobacteria; Vibrionales; Vibrionaceae
Source: RNAcentral
UUCGCGUAUUCUGAAACUGUCGGUAGGAUGCUGACAGGAACAGGAAAGGCCCAAGGAUUGGUCAUCUUCAGGAAGAAGAUUCGAUGGUUCAGGAUGACUCAUCGGCAUGGAUCGCAAAGGGACACCCGCCAAGAUGGCGAUGUAAUGGAAUGCGCUGAAGGACUCAGCAGACUAUCAGGGAAUAGAUGCAGGGAGCACAUUGAGUAGCUGGAUUGCUGCAAGUAAGAACCGAAACCCCAUCAAGCCUCGCUUGAUG